AAGGGCACCACAAGAACGCGUGGAGCAUGUGGCUUAAUUUGACUCAACGCGGGAAAUCUUACCGGGUCCGGACACACUGAGGAUUGACAGGCAAUAUUAAUACGUAUGUUUUUUAUCAAACAUUUUCGUAUUAUGUUAAAUAUGCUAGUCCUUUCAUGAUUAUGUGAUAGGUGGUGCAUGGCCGUUCUUAGUUCGUGGAGUGAUCUGUCUGCUUAAUUGCGUUUCACUAAGGGCCUAUAAACUUACGUGUGUUGCGGCACUUUGACCCCUUUCUUAUUCAGAAAGCGCGCGUCUUAGUUUGCUUUGCUCACACAAUUAGGUCCUGAAAGCAACGAACGUGACCGCAACCUCUUGUUGCCUUUAUACCAAACAUGUUUGUUAUUUUUAUAACAUUCAUGAAAAAAGGCUUUUUAAACUAGAGGGACCGCUGUUACUUUCUUAAACCAGAGGAAGGUUGCGGCAAUAACAGGUCUGUGAUGCCCUUAGAUGUUCCGGGCUGCACACGUGCUACAAUGAUUAUUGCAGUGAGCAUCUCAUUUUUACACACCGCAUGCGCGAGUCCAUUUAUUCACUUCGGUGCUUUAAAUGUGUAUCUCUGCGCGCGGUAAAGCCUGCUUCGAAAGUAAGUGGGUAAUCAAUUAGAAGUAAUGAUUUCCUUUUUUAGCACACAUAUAUACGGCGUCUAUACCCGGGUUACCUUGUUGUAACUUUUGUGCGUAUAGAUGUUUUUUCCGUAUGUGCGAUUGUCAAUUCAUGGUGGGGACAGACCAUUGUUAAUUGUUGGUCUCGGUCUUAACUAGGAAUGCCUUGUACGGGUCUUUGGUUCAACAAACCACCCGGAAUACGUCCCUGCCCUUUGUACACACCGCCCGUCGCUCUUACCGAUGGACUUCUCUGUGAGUUUGAGGGACUGGGAACGCAGAAUUUAUUCUGCACACCUAUGGAAACUUAAACGAACAGUGUGGUCUAAAGGAAAGAGAAGUCGUAACAAGGCAUCGGUAGGUGAACCUGCAGAAGGAUCA
Molecule: ribosomal RNA, 1022 nt
Filed under: uncultured eukaryote
Lineage: Eukaryota
Description: bacterial SSU rRNA
Rfam family: Eukaryotic small subunit ribosomal RNA
Source: RNAcentral